RNAcentral lists this ribosomal RNA (2269 nucleotides) under activated sludge metagenome. Its description in RNAcentral is "bacterial LSU rRNA". It matches the Rfam family "Bacterial large subunit ribosomal RNA", at positions 14 to 2309 of the family's 2925-position model. The record is from RNAcentral.
AGCGUAUGUGGUGGAUGCCUAGGCGAUAGAAGGCGAUGAAGGACGUGGUAGCCUGCGAAAUGCUUCGGGGAGCUGGCAAACAAGCUUUGAUCCGGAGAUAUCCGAAUGGGGAAACCCACUGCUUCGGCAGUACUUGCAACUGAAUCCAUAGGUUGCAGGAGCGAACCCGGGGAAUUGAAACAUCUCAGUACCCGGAGGAAGAGAAAUCAACCGAGAUUCCGUCAGUAGUGGCGAGCGAACGCGGAACAGCCCAGUUGGAACCAGUCGAUAGAGCUUAGUGGAACGGUCUGGAAAGUCCGGCCAUAGCGGGUGAUAGCCCCGUACACGAAAGGUAAAGUCGAUGACCAACGAAGAGUAGGGCGGGACACGUGUAAUCCUGUCUGAACAUGGGGGGACCAUCCUCCAAGGCUAAAUACUCUCUAUCGACCGAUAGUGAACCAGUACCGUGAGGGAAAGGCGAAAAGAACCCCGGAGAGGGGAGUGAAAUAGAACCUGAAACCGCAUACGUACAAGCAGUCGGAGCCUCCGCAAGGGGGUGACGGCGUACCUUUUGUAUAAUGGGUCAGCGAGUUAUUUUCAGUGGCGAGGCUAACCGAAUAGGGGAGCCGUAGGGAAACCGAGUCCGAACAGGGCGAAUCAGUCGCUGGGAAUAGACCCGAAGCCGGUCGAUCUAUCCAUGUCCAGGGUGAAGGUGGGGUAAUACCCACUGGAGGCCCGAACACACUACUGUUGCAAUAGUAGGUGAUGAGGUGUGGAUAGGAGUGAAAGGCUAAUCAAGGCCGGCGAUAGCUGGUUCUCCCCGAAAGCUAUUUAGGUAGUGCCUCAUCGAGCACUCCUGGGGGUAGAGCACUGUUUAGGCUAGCGGGUCAUCCCGACUUAGCAAACCUAUGCAAACUCCGAAUACCAGGAAGUGAACCGGUGGGAGACACACGGCGGGUGCUAACGUCCGUCGUGAAGAGGGAAAUAACCCAGACCGCCAGCUAAGGCCCCAAAUUCAUGGCUAAGUGGUGAACGAUGUGGGAAGGCAUAGACAGCCAGGAGGUUGGCUUAGAAGCAGCCAUCCUUUAAAGAAAGCGUAAUAGCUCACUGGUCUAGUCGGCCCGCGCGGAAGAUUUAACGGGGCUCAAGCCAUGAGCCGAAGCUGCGGAUCUGCACGCAAGUGCAGGUGGUAGGGGAGCGUUCUGUACGCCUGUGAAGGUGCACUGCGAGGUGUGCUGGAGGUAUCAGAAGUGCGAAUGCUGACAUGAGUAACGUUAAUGCGGGUGAAAAACCCGCACGCCGAAAGCCCAAGGUUUCCUGCUCAACGUUAAUCGGAGCAGGGUGAGCCGGUUCCUAAGACGAGACCGAAAGGUGUAGCCGAUGGAAAACAGGUCAAUAUUCCUGUGCCCGGUGUGACUGCGAUGGGGUGACGGAGAAGGCUAGUUCAGCAGGUAUUGGUUGCCUGUUUAAGCAUGUAGGGGGAGUUGCCAGGCAAAUCCGGUGACUCAUUCAACCCCGAGGUGUGAUGACGAGGUCCCACGUGGACCGAAGUGAAUAACGCCCGGCUCCCAGGAAAAGCCUCUAAGCUUCAGGUCACAUUGGACCGUACCGAAAACCGACACUGGUGGGCGAGCAGAUAAUCUGCCAAGGCGCUUGAGAGAACUCGGGUUAAGGAACUCUGCAAAUUGAUACCGUAACUUCGGAAGAAGGUAUGCCUUCGACGGUGAAGGGACUUGCUCCCCUAGCUGUUGAAGGUCGCAGGUAAUCGGUGGCUGCAACUGUUUAUCAAAAACACAGGACUCUGCGAACACGUAAGUGGAUGUAUAGGGUCUGACGCCUGCCCGGUGCCGGAAGGUUAAUUGAUGGGGUCAGCCGCAAGGCGAAGCUCUUGAUCGAAGCCCCGGUAAACGGCGGCCGUAACUAUAACGGUCCUAAGGUAGCGAAAUUCCUUGUCGGGUAAGUUCCGACCUGCACGAAUGGCGUAAUGAUAGCCACACUGUCUCGACCCGAGACUCAGUGAAGUUGAAAUCGCUGUGAAGAUGCGGCGUUCCCGCGGCAAGACGGAAAGACCCCGUGAACCUUCACUACAGCUUUACACUGAACUUUGAACCUUUUUGUGUAGCAUAGGUGGGAGGCUUUGAAGUCUGGGCGCUAGCUCAGAUGGAGCCAACGUUGAAAUACCACCCUGAAAUGUUCGGAGUUCUAACCUUGCCCCGUAAUCCGGGGUGGGGACAGUGUAUGGUGGGUAGUUUGACUGGGGCGGUCUCCUCCCAAAGAGUAACGGAGGAGC